Molecule: ribosomal RNA, 443 nt
Filed under: uncultured bacterium
Lineage: Bacteria
Description: partial 16S ribosomal RNA
Rfam family: Bacterial small subunit ribosomal RNA
Source: RNAcentral
CCUACGGGUGGCUGCAGUGGGGAAUAUUGGGCAAUGGGCGCAAGCCUGACCCAGCAACGCCGCGUGAGGGAAGAAGGCUUUCGGGUUGUAAACCUCUGUCCUUGGUGACGAAAAAAAUGACGGUAGCCAAGGAGGAAGCCCCGGCUAACUACGGGCCAGCAGCCGCGGUAAUACGUAGGGGGCGAGCGUUGGCCGGAAGUACUGGGCGUAAAGGGUGCGUAGGUGGCCUUUUAAGUUGGAUGUGAAAUACCCUGGCUUAACUUGUGGGGUGCAUCUAAUACUGGUGGGCUAGAGUGCAGGAGAGGAAAGCGUAAUUCCUAGUGUAGCGGUGAAAUGCGUAGAUAUUAGGAGGAACACCAGUGGCGAAGGCGGCUUUCUGGACUGUAACUGACACUGAGGCACGAAAGCGUGGGGAGCAAACAGGAUUAGAUACCCCUGUAGUC